GUGUCCCUACGGGAGGCAGCAGUGAGGAAUAUUGGUCAACGGGCGGAAGCCUGAACCAGCCAAGUCGCGUGAGGGAAUAAGGCCCUACGGGUCGUAAACCUCUUUUGCCGGGGAGCAAGGGCCGGGACGCGUCCCGGCCCGGAGAGUACCCGGAGAAAAAGCAUCGGCUAACUCCGUGCCCGCAGCCGCGGUAAUACGGAGGAUGCGAGCGUUAUCCGGAUUUAUUGGGUUUAAAGGGUGCGUAGGCGGGCUUUUAAGUCAGCGGUAAAAAUUCGGGGCUCAACCCCGUCCGGCCGGUGAAACUG
This 305-nucleotide ribosomal RNA is filed under the name uncultured bacterium. RNAcentral describes it as "bacterial SSU rRNA". It matches the Rfam family "Bacterial small subunit ribosomal RNA", at positions 333 to 635 of the family's 1533-position model. The record is from RNAcentral.